This 294-nucleotide long non-coding RNA is filed under the name Homo sapiens (human). Its description in RNAcentral is "non-protein coding lnc-CCDC140-6:1". The record is from RNAcentral. Lineage: Eukaryota; Metazoa; Chordata; Mammalia; Primates; Hominidae.
AUGAUAAGGCACUGUGUUCCCCUGAUGGCAUAUUUCUGACUAGUGAUACAUGUUGCUCAAUUAUUUUCUCAGAAAUAUCUGGUGUCAGUACCCGCUUAUCAUCUGUGUGAGAGUACUCAUUCUGACUCCUUUUCCUGAACUUUUUCACAAUAGCAAAGUCAUGGAAUUAACCUAAAUGCCCAUCAAUAAUAGACUGGAUAAAGAAAAGGUGGUACAUAUGCAGCCAUAAAAAGGAAUGAGAUCAUGUCCUUUGCCAGUACAUGGAUGGAGUUGAAACCAUUAUCCUCAGCAAAC